GCUGGUUUAGUAUAGUGGUAUUAUGCUGCUCUUGUAAGGCAGAGACGGGGGUCCGAUUCCGCCCAUCCAGCACCA
RNAcentral lists this transfer RNA (75 nucleotides) under Nitrososphaerota archaeon. Its description in RNAcentral is "Thaumarchaeota archaeon tRNA-Thr". It matches the Rfam family "tRNA". Rfam says of the family: Transfer RNA (tRNA) molecules are approximately 80 nucleotides in length. Their secondary structure includes four short double-helical elements and three loops (D, anti-codon, and T loops). Lineage: Archaea; Thermoproteati; Nitrososphaerota. The record is from RNAcentral.